AGUCGAUGAUGGGAGCUAGCUUGCUAGAAGUCAUGGCGGACGGGUGAGUAACGUGUAAAGAACUUACCAUAUAGACUGGGAUAACAGAGGGAAACUUCUGAUAAUACUGGAUAAGUUAGAAGUAGCAUUACUAAGUAAUGAAAGGUAGCAAUACGCUAUAUGAGAGCUUUGCAUCCUAUUAGCUAGUUGGUGGGGUAAAAGCCUACCAAGGCGAUGAUAGGUAGCCGGCCUGAGAGGGUGGACGGCCACAAGGGGACUGAGAUACGGCCCUUACUCCUACGGGAGGCAGCAGUGGGGAGUAUUGGACAAUGGAGGCAACUCUGAUCCAGCAAUUCUGUGUGUGUGAAGAAGGUUUUAGGACUGUAAAACACUUUUAGUAGGGAAGAAUGAAAUGACGGUACCUACAGAAGAAGCGACGGCUAAAUACGUGCCAGCAGCCGCGGUAAUACGUAGGGGGCAAGCGUUAUCCGGAUUCAUUGGGCGUAAAGCGCGCGUAGGCGGUCUGUUAGGUCAGGAGUUAAAUCUGGGGGCUCAACCCCUAUCCGCUCCU
This 550-nucleotide ribosomal RNA is filed under the name uncultured bacterium. RNAcentral describes it as "bacterial SSU rRNA". It matches the Rfam family "Bacterial small subunit ribosomal RNA", at positions 60 to 628 of the family's 1533-position model. The record is from RNAcentral.